GUGUGGUCUUCCGAGAUGGAAGGACACUUACAGGUUUUUUAAGAAGCAUUGAUCAGUUUGCUAACUUAGUCCUGCAUCAGACUGUGGAGCGCAUUCACGUGGGCAGAAAGUACGGUGAUAUUCCUCGAGAGAUUUUUGUGGUCAGAGGAGAAAAUGUGGUCCUGCUAGGAGAAAUACUCUCGGGAGUCAGAGCCAGGCGGAUCUCUGAGUUCAGGGCCAGCCUGGUCUACAGAGCGAGAUCCAGGACAGGCACCAAAACUACACAGAGAAACCCUGUCUCGAAAAACCAAAAAAACAAAACAAAACAAAAAAAAAAACAGAUUAUGUAAGUCAGCAGUCAGUCUGAAGAAAUGACAUAUUAAAGCCCAAGAGAACUCAUAACCAGCGUAUCUUUAGAGAAGCAUUGUUGAAGACAUCUCUAGUGGUACCCCAUGGUGGCACAUGCCUGUGAUAUCAGAAGUGUGGAGACUGAGGCAGAAGAUUUCAAGUUUAUGGCCAGUCUGCACAAGACCUUAUUCCAAAAAGAAAACAAAGUGCCUGGAUUCUGUGGAUGAUGAAGGAUCCCAGCCCUAAGAACCUUUUCUUUAAAAGGUUACCCCAUUGUGGUCAUCAUUAGUAGUUCCGCGGGUGAAAUACCGUGAAAAGCCCAGGAAAGCAGAGCCAAGCCAUUGUCUUUUCUUCACUCCAGGGUUACGAGGGAAGGGGUUAGGUGAUCAUGUGUAGUUUUUAGCAGAUAACCUUUGACCCGGGUAACUUAUGCAACUUGUGUGGCUUCUUCUAACCUCCUGCUGAGAGUCCUUCCUCUGAUACCAUGACAGCUGAGCUCUGAGACCUUGGAGGCAUGUGUCAGUUAUUAUCCAGACUGAAACAUCUGCAGAUUUUUUUUUCUGGUCGGUGUCUUUCCAAACCACCUCAUCAAAAGUCAUGAAAGGGACUGGAAGGACGGCUAUCAAUAACUGAGUGCUUACUGCUUCCCUAGCUCUUCGGGAGAACCUGAGUUCAGUUCCCAGCACCCAUAGACGGUAGCUCAUACCUGACUAACUCCAGCUCCAGAAGAUAUGACAUCCUUGUCUGGUCUCUGCCCACAUCCCUGGCUAGGCAUAAAUUAAAAAAAAAAAAGUCACAGAGGGUAAGCAGCUCAUCUGUAAUCCCAGCAUUCACUAGAGGAGGUCAAUGAGUAGAGGCCAGCCUGGGCGUUAUAUAGUGAGUUCUAGGACAGACAUUUUUUGCUGUAUAACAAAGAUCCUGACUGGGAGGAGUUGUGGGGAGGGGGCAGAAAUAUAUUGCUGCUUUAUCUAUGUAGGCUUUCCAUGUUACAGAUAAUUCCUAUACAUUUUAAAAAUGAUAAAAUCUGUGUUUAGUGAGGCUCGUUUAUGGUUCUGCAUUACAAGAUUGGUUAUUAAAUGUUUAUGACAAAUAAUAAGUAUAUUAUGCUGUGUUAAAUGAAAAUAAAAUUGACA
Molecule: non-coding RNA, 1460 nt
Organism: Peromyscus maniculatus bairdii (prairie deer mouse)
Lineage: Eukaryota; Metazoa; Chordata; Mammalia; Rodentia; Cricetidae
Source: RefSeq, a predicted model, not a curated record